Molecule: long non-coding RNA, 3916 nt
Organism: Zea mays
Lineage: Eukaryota; Viridiplantae; Streptophyta; Magnoliopsida; Poales; Poaceae
Exons: 2
Source: RefSeq, a predicted model, not a curated record
GGGUCACCAAAUCAACCCUGAGUGAAUUUAAUUAUGGACCGUUCGAGUUACACCGCGGACCGUUCUGUCCACUGACCGUCCGAGCCACAUUGUUGUACUGUCCGAAUGUGACCAUGUGUCAAAUUUGAUGCUCAACACCGCCGAAUCGUCGCGAUGGAAAGAAUUUGUUACUUUCUAGAUUCUAAAUCCUAUGGAUACACUCUAUUUUCCUCCGCAUGUAAGUUCCGUGAUUCUCUAGAAACCUAGAUUUUUAGAAAAACUUGUCAGACAAAAGCUGAAUUAAACAUGCCAUAAAUGGUUCGUUGAGCAGGAGAGUGUGAUUUCACUGCCACUCCUCUCCUCAAUUGCGAGAAUGUGAGAUGUAUGAUUUUCGGCUGGUUCAUGGUAAUUUCGAAAGACCAAGCGUCACUUUUUCAUAUCGCUGGUUUUGUGUGUCGGGUUCAUUAUUGCCCGAAAAAUGCGAAUGUUGUUGCUAUCGACAGCAGCUGCGAAGAAUGAAGAUGUACCGGUGAACUUUCUAAUAGCCAACAUCCUGACUACGCAAAUUGCUUCAAAAAAAAAAAAUCGAUGCAGCAGCAAGCACUAGUAGGUGCGAGGACUACUGCACCAAAUGAUAGAACGCAUGCAGCACGCAACGUUUCCCGCUGUGCAACGUCGUCGUCGAUCGAAAUCGAAAGCAUGGAAAGGAGUACGUGCACGUCCUUGCACGAGCACGGCCGUCUCCCCUUUACCGCUGUCGGGCACAUCAGACUGCAGGACCAUCGCACAGUGCAAUUCAUUCAGUUUCCCGAGCAACGAGGAGAGCUAGCGGAGCAUGGCCGUCGUCGUCGUCCAUAGCCUGCACUGCUGCAAAGGCCGAAGAGAUUGAUGAAAAGCUUGCGUGCAAGUGCAAAAGGCACACGCAAAGGCAGCUGCGUCGAAUCCGGUUCAGACAGGCCCGUCAGGCUGGCCGUCAACUCGCAGGUCAGUCAGGCUGAGCCACUGCAGUACUGCACUGCACUGCAUGCGUGCACCGAUCGCCAUGCGUGUCUCCCGGGGGGCGAUAGCUUUAAGCUUACGGAGAGCCAGCCAUGGCGCAUGGUCCAUGGAAGGAAGGAAGAAGCCGGCCGGGAUUCGCUGACAGGGUUUACACAUCCACGAGGCACGAGCAAGAACCACUGCUGCACUGCGUUUCUGGCUUUCUGCGCGUCGUUGCCUUCAAACAAAGUUCAGAAACGUACUGCUAUCCAUUUCCAUGCACGCGAAGAGCUGCAGCAGUGAAGAAGCGGAAGUGGAGGAAAGCAGAAAAAAGGUUGAAGAGAAUGAGUGAUGUGACGGUGGUGUGUGUCCCUGGCGAUGGAGUGGAAGGAGUGGCAGUGCGUCAACUCUGACAAGCAGAGUCGUAGAGGCAGCGGCAGCCUGAUCGAGCGCUUGAUGGCUGUGCGUCGAGUCUGUCGGUCUACUCCGUGCCACCGCCGUGCCAGUGUGUCACCGGCUCAUCGCCCGCGUCGGAGCGGAAAGCGAUAGGGACGAUCUGACAGACAUGUCCUCCUAGCUUGCGGUUGCGGCAUUGACAGAUUGGCUAGGGCAAGCAAGGAAAGGAGUAUACUGCUACAUACUGCUAUACUGUGCUGAAGUGGUCACUGACUCACUGCUGAGUGCUCUGCUGGACCAGCAGACGCAACGCAAGCGCCACUGUCUGUCACUCGGCGUCACCCUGUCCGUCCCAGUCCCUGGUUCCUGUGCGCCUUGGCAGUGGUCUGUGGUCGGUCAACCUGGGCCUCCAUCUCCAUCCACCGGGUCCGGCGGCCCCUUUGGUUCUCAGAACUCAGCAGCCCAGGCCAUGCCUUUUACCUGUAGGCCCAAUGUUUUUUUAGGCUGCUUCGAGGUCUGGACCGUAGGGCCUGGGUGCAGGCACUAUUACUGGGCCUCCAAUUCUUUCGGCCUCUCAACUGAUCACUACACUGAUGGCCCGCCAACCGAAGACCAACUGCUCGCCGGUCGCCGCUUCCUUCCCUCGUCGACGAACUGGGACUGACCAGUGACCACCGAUCGGACUGACACAGCAGCGGUGGGGACUAGGGAGCUAGUAGAGUGUCGGCUCGGCGUCGGCAAUUGGCGCCGCGAGCCCUCCACUGCCGUCCCCGCACCAGCACCACCUCGCGCGGAGGCUGCUCGACGAAAUUCCCUCCCGCAGGGUGUCGCCCGCCUCCCCCGCGUGCUCGUUCCUCGCCAGGGGGCAGGGGGCUCCUCCGCGCUAGCUACGUCGAUGGACGACAUAUUCAGCGUUAAGUUUUGUGCUUCUGAUGUUGUCACCUUCACCACACUCAUAUCUGGAUACCUGUGUGUGUGUGUGCAGGUGAUCACGCAGAGGCCCUCGGUGUGCUGUGUCCUCAAGGGAUUGUUUGGCAUUGGACAAGUUGAUACAGCAAUGGUGCUGAUCCUGUGACUCAUACUGUGGUGAUCAAAGGGCUCUGCAGUGCAAGGCUGCUUGAGAAAGCAAAGGAAUUCUGGGACAGUACUGUCGUCUGGCCAUCAGGGAUACAUGAUGAUUAUGUGUACAGUGCAAUCUUCAGAGGUCUCUGCAAACAGAGGAAACUAGAACAGGCAUGUGAUUUCUUGUACGAAUUGGUGGAUUGUGGGGUUGCUCCCAGCGCAGUGUGCUACAACAUACUCAUAGACGCUGCCUGCAAGCAGGGACCGAAUAAGUUAGCAUAUUAGUUAAGGAGAUGAAAAGAAAUGAACUAGCACCUGAUGCUGUUACUUGGAGGAUUCUUAGCAAACUGCAUCACUAUGACGAGGAAGAACAAGAGGGGAACCAGCAUCAAACGUUUGGUGUCGAUCGAACUUCUAAAGAAGGUAGGGUGGAGCCUCUCGUCUGGACUAAAUAUAUGAUGCCUUUGCUGCCAUCAUCUGAAAAAUUUAGUGAAGCUAAUGAGGAUAAUAACACGGCUGAGUCUGAGGAAGAGAUUGACUAGUUACCAGAUAUGUCUAGUAAAUCAGAACCUGAGGAGGUUGGAUACUCGAAUACUCGAUUAAAAAAAUGACAGUGGAUGAAGCACCAGAUAAUACUAACCCAAUCAAAGCACAGGGAAAUUGUCUGAUGGAUAAUCCAACAAGGGGAACAGUAACUGACAAGGCUGAUAUAACUAGGGGAGAUGGCCUUAAGAACUCAGAUAAUCAACCUUCAGUGAUGUUGGCACCUUGAAGAGUGAAGACCUAUUCAAAAAAGUUUUGCAGGCCUUCAAAUUAUCUAGACAUUUAAAAUAGCUCCUCAGUAUUUCUUACCUUAUAGAAGUUUAUGUUGCUCGGAUAAAUUUGUAAGAAUAAAUGUCACCAAACUAAUACGGAUUUGAUUGACACCUGGUUUAUUUUUACAUGUUAGGUGGCGAUGAUGUAUAGGCCUUUGGUAGUCAAAAUACGAGACUACAGAUUAUAGAUAAGCUUUGUCUGCUCUGCAUCCAUAAUGCACAAAGCAGAAGGUUGUUGCGACAAGGUGCGCCUAUGAAUGUUGGAUUCGCUUACACUACAAGGUCUCUGCGCCACCAAAGGUACCAUGGUAGUAGCAGCGAUAAGAGAAGAAUCGGCUUCCAAAUUGUGUCCCAAGUCAGAUCGGCCGGCAUAGGUGGUGCUUGUGAGCUGAACUGGUAGUGUAGUCGCAGCCUUGUUCAAGAGACUGACAAACUGACGAAGGCUAUCAUCCACGGCCAAGUCCUCGCACCCAUCUGUGGACAACUGGAUGAUCCUUCAAUUUGUUUGCAGCCUUGCAGUACAGUAUCCUAUUUCGCGGAACCAAUAGCUCUGAACUACUUAGGACUUGUUUGGAAGCAACCUAGUUUUUAAGAAACCAGUUUUUAUUUUUUUUAGUUAUGAAAGGCCAGCUUUUUGGUUUUUAAUAAACCAAUAAUCUAAUUUAUAUAAACAGAGUCUUAAACUA